UGGGGGAUAUUGCACAAUGGGCGAAAGCCUGAUGCAGCGACGCCGCGUGGGUGAUGAAGGCCUUCGGGUUGUAAACUUCUUUUGCUCUGAACAAGGCAUGCCUUUGGGGUGCGCUGAGUGUAGGGGUUGAUUAGCGCCGGCUAACUACGUGCCAGUAGCCGCGGUAAUACGUAGGGCGCGAGCGUUGUCCGGAAUUAUUGGGCGUAAAGGGCUUGUAGGUGGCUGGUUGCGUCUGUCGUGAAAGCUCAUGGCUUAACUGUGGGUUUGCGGUGGGUACGGGCUGGCUUGAGGGCAGUAGGGGAGGCUGGAAUGCCUGGUGUAGCGGUGGAAUGAGCAGAUAUAAGGAGGAAUACCGGUGGCGAAGGCGGGUCUCUGGGCUGUUACUGACGCUGAGGAGCGAAAGCGUGGGGAGCGAACAGG
Molecule: ribosomal RNA, 420 nt
Filed under: Fusobacteriota bacterium
Lineage: Bacteria; Fusobacteriati; Fusobacteriota
Description: Fusobacteria bacterium partial 16S ribosomal RNA
Rfam family: Bacterial small subunit ribosomal RNA
Source: RNAcentral